RNAcentral lists this ribosomal RNA (254 nucleotides) under uncultured bacterium. Its description in RNAcentral is "partial 16S ribosomal RNA". It matches the Rfam family "Bacterial small subunit ribosomal RNA", at positions 524 to 776 of the family's 1533-position model. The record is from RNAcentral.
UACGGAGGGUGCGAGCGUUGUCCGGAAUCAUUGGGCGUAAAGGGCGCGUAGGUGGCCCGGUCAGUUCGUGGUGAAAGCGCGGGGCUCAACCCUGCGUCGGCCAUGAAUACUGCCGCGGCUGGAGCACUGUAGAGGCAGGCGGAAUUCCGGGUGUAGCGGUGGAAUGCGUAGAGGUCCGGAAGAACACCGGUGGCGAAGGCGGCCUGCUGGGCAGUUGCUGACACUGAGGCGCGACAGCGUGGGGAGCAAACAGG